AUCCGAGCCUGGUCUUUCACAAUGGGAUAGAAGUAGGGGUGUUCCAUGGCUUCUCUUGCUGUGAGUCGUGACUGGUGAUCGUAUCGCAACAGCUUGUCUAAGAAAUCCAGAGCUUCAGGACUCACCAGAUGUUGGUUCUCGCUAUGAACAAAGCGCUCCCAUCGUUUACGGGAGUGUCUGCCCAAGAUAUCAUUGAAACGUGGAUCCAGUUCAAUAUUGUAUUUGUCAAUGUAGUCAUACAGAUCUUCUGUUCCCAGCACCUUGGCU
Molecule: long non-coding RNA, 267 nt
Filed under: Gallus gallus (chicken)
Lineage: Eukaryota; Metazoa; Chordata; Aves; Galliformes; Phasianidae
Source: RNAcentral